GAGGAUAUAGUUCAGUGUUAGCAUGCAUGCCUAGCAUGCAUUAGGUCCUGGGUUCAAUUCCCAGUACCUCCA
Camelus ferus (Wild Bactrian camel) is the source of this 72-nucleotide transfer RNA. It matches the Rfam family "tRNA". From Rfam's summary of the family: Transfer RNA (tRNA) molecules are approximately 80 nucleotides in length. Their secondary structure includes four short double-helical elements and three loops (D, anti-codon, and T loops). The record is from Rfam. Lineage: Eukaryota; Metazoa; Chordata; Mammalia; Artiodactyla; Camelidae.